UACAGAGGUCUCAAGCGUUGUUCGGAUUCAUUGGGCGUAAAGCGCGUGUAGGCGGCUAGGCAAGUCGGGUGUGAAAGCCCUCAGCUCAACUGAGGAAGUGCGCCCGAAACUGCGUGGCUUGAGUACCGGAGAGGAUGGCGGAAUUCCCCAAGUAGAGGUGAAAUUCGUAGAUAUGGGGAGGAACACCGGUGGCGAAGGCGGCCAUCUGGACGGAUACUGACGCUGAGACGCGAAAGCGUGGGGAGCAAACAGG
RNAcentral lists this ribosomal RNA (253 nucleotides) under uncultured bacterium. RNAcentral's name for it is "partial 16S ribosomal RNA". It matches the Rfam family "Bacterial small subunit ribosomal RNA", at positions 524 to 776 of the family's 1533-position model. The record is from RNAcentral.